Molecule: ribosomal RNA, 253 nt
Filed under: uncultured bacterium
Lineage: Bacteria
Description: partial 16S ribosomal RNA
Rfam family: Bacterial small subunit ribosomal RNA
Source: RNAcentral
UACGUAGGGUGCAAGCGUUGUCCGGAAUUAUUGGGCGUAAAGAGCUCGUAGGCGGCUCGUCACGUCGGGAGUGAAAACUCGGGGCUUAACCCCGAGCCUGCUUCCGAUACGGGCAGACUAGAGGUAGGCAGGGGAGAGCGGAACUCCUGGUGUAGCGGUGGAAUGCGCAGAUAUCAGGAAGAACACCGGUGGCGAAGGCGGCUCUCUGGGCCUUACCUGACGCUGAGGAGCGAAAGCGUGGGGAGCAAACAGG